GCCUGGCUAGCUCAGUCAGUAGAGCAUGAGACUCUUAACCUCAGGGUUGUGGGUUUGAGCCCCACAUUGGGCA
RNAcentral lists this transfer RNA (73 nucleotides) under Antrostomus carolinensis (chuck-will's-widow). RNAcentral's name for it is "Caprimulgus carolinensis (chuck-will's-widow) tRNA". It matches the Rfam family "tRNA". Rfam says of the family: Transfer RNA (tRNA) molecules are approximately 80 nucleotides in length. The record is from Rfam by way of RNAcentral. Lineage: Eukaryota; Metazoa; Chordata; Aves; Caprimulgiformes; Caprimulgidae.